UUUUAUUCUUGUCUUAUUCCGUUCGUAUUUCUGUGCUUAUUAAAGGUAAACGAAAGGACUUUGAGAUUUUUCCACUAUUGAUAGUGCCCGGGAAAAAUAUUUUUACGUUUUAAAUACAAAUAGAAUAGUAUUUAUUCUAUGAUCGAUUACAUUUCUUUCUUUUGUGCACGAGAUGUUCCAGAUUUCUUGUAUUUUUUUAUCCAGAUUUUUAUCCUCUCUGAAUUUUUCAAUCAGUUGAAGCUACAUAAAAAUUUUGAAGCCAUUUUUUUCUUAGUCAAGAACAUUAAGGGGAUCCUAAACUGGAUAAAAUUAUCGAUACAGUGUAGCGUAGAGUCCCAUUUUGAAUUGACUGCGCAGAAUGAAAAAUCCUUUUGCACAAUUAAAAUACGGACAAAAAGUGAGGGUGCGCUGAAUGACAAGAAAAUCGAUAUAAAAAAUUUUAAAAAUUACCUUUAUGUGUGUUGCUUUCGACCCGUAUGCUGUCAUCUGACACGUCAACAUUUCCACUUUAUAAUCAAUAAGUAAACAAUUGUAAUGUGUACCGUAGUAAUAAUGAGGUAUCGAGAGCACACAAGCAAGAUAUUGAGUCAACAUUUCCACUUUAUAAAAGUUAUACGGCUCGAAUGUGCAAAAUGCGAUCCAUCGCACCCUUCGGAUUACUGGCAUAAACAAUUUUGUGCUCCUGAAUUUACGAUUGAAAGCCUAUUUAAAAAAUGGGAUCUACGUUUUUUGCGUACGCGUAUAGUUAGCUAAAAUACAAAAUGAUAGCAAAGCAUCAAUUAUGUCUAAUAACAGAUGUUGCAAUAGAUGGCGCUUCAGUAUGAUAGAUAAAAGGAUAGUUGUACGCGUUUUGAGUGAGAUAGAACGAUAAGAAAUUGAAUUAAAGGUCUAUCACUAUUACCAAUGUUUUUAGUUUGAAAUUAAAAAUGUUUUAUCGUGAAGUUUAGUCUUCACUUUAGGAUUCCCUUAAGUUUCCCUUCUUUCAUGACGAGUCAACAAAUUUUUCCCAAAGUCCAUUUAUGCUUAAUAAAUAAUAUUAAUUUACGUAGUUAAAUGUCAAAAGCUAGAUUUUCUCUUAGGAUUGAAUUAAUUAGUUAAAGAAUCUGUAGAUGAUGGAGAUGAAAUAUUUGAGACAUCCUGUAUAUGUAGGGAAAGAGGGGAUUAUUUCAGACGCGAAUAAUUCGGAUUAAUCGAUUAUUUUUUAUUAUUUUGAACAAUUAUAAUCGGAAUAACGUUAGCUGUGCAUAGUAGAUAGAUGUUGAUACGUAAUUGUGACAAGUUCGAUGAAAAGGCAAGUAAGAUACGAUCACUUUUGCAAGAUCACUUUUGCAAGGUCACUUUUUGCAAAAACACUUUUGCAUAGCAUGAAAAAGUUAUUGAAACAAUCAACUCUCAAAUCGAUCUCGCAAAUAAGUAUUAGAAUGGCAUAUUAAAAGGUAUUUAAACGUUAAUAUUAGUUAAACAAUUUUUAAUAUUAUAUUGCUUAUUGAAUUUUGUGAGAAUCGAUAACUUUAAAAAAUCAUGUAAGUAUGAAUUAGUUUGCACAAAGCACAUGGGGCUAUUCGGACAGUGUCUAAUUUAAGACGUGAAGUUAGUUUAAUGUUCAAACGCACACAUUUGCUCAAUAUUUUUAUAAAAUUAAACAUUUAAUUAAACAAAAUGGUAAUUAUUUAUAAUUCAAAUUUUAAUUUUGAUGGAAAGAAUAAAAAGAAGCGGAAGAUCCUCCAUUGAAAGCUAACAUUGUUCGUGCCAUGCAAGCAAUGAUGAACGAAUGUUUCCAUUGAUGCAAAAGAAUGCUCAGUUUUUAUUAUGUCCGUACUAAAUCCUUAUAGGGUUAGUUCGGACAAAAACGUGAUAUUUUUAAAAAUAUUUUUUUUUAGUAAUUAGUACAUAAAUAGCGAAGAGAAAUAUAAUUAUUAGGCAGGGAAAUAAUGUAAAAUUUUAUUAAAUUUAUGACCUCCCCAAAAUUGAUCUCUCUACGUCUUCUAACUGAAAAAAAAAUAAAAUAAUGAUUUUCGUCCGGACUAAUCCUCCCUUCCUCUAUGUAUUAAAGAUAAGAUUAUUAACAUUAAAAAAUAUCAUCAAAACUACUUAUUUAUUAGAAUUCAUAUCCUUACAACCGUUGACAUAUAAUUCAAUUUAAAAAUCGGAAAUUUGUAUGUUGCGAAAGUCAGUGUUUGUUUUGCCAUUUCUGCUGGAUUUGCAUUACAAUUACAUACUGAUGCAUCAUUUUUUACGCAGGCCACUGCAACGUACGUCGCCCAAAUCGGCAACGAGCAAGAUCCAAUUUCUUUCAGGUGCUCUACGACACGGUAGAUCAAUAAGUAAACAAUUGUAAUGUGUAGCGCAAUAAUAAUGGACAGAGGUAUCGAGAGCACACAAGCAAGGUAUCGAGUUUGAGAGACAGAAUGCGAGAGGUAGAUGGAAUGAGAGAAAGACAGAGAGAGAGAGAGAGAGGGAGAAAGGGCGAAAUAUAUAGAUGAGGAUAGAGGGGAGAGAGUCAGGAGAGAAAGAGAGAGAGAGAGAGAGUGAGAGACAAAGCUUUGUAAUAAAUUAUAUUAAAUUUUUAUCGAUCUCUGUUAAUGCUGAGUGCAGAAGAAGAUCAUGAUCAUGAUUUGCCUCGCCGUAUUGGGCGUUGUCAUCGCUACCACCAUCGGUGGAUACUUCGGAUUGUGAACGCCAAAAUCAGAAAAGUCCAAAGACAUCAACAGCAUCGUGUACCUAAUUCUGAACCGCCGGCAGCAUCAGCAUUCACUCGUAUCGCUUCGAUACGUGAAGCUGAUCGCCAUCGAACGGAAGGAGAUCGUCAUUGUCGAAGAUUCCAUCAUCGGCGUACUUCUAUCUUCUAUCUUCUAACACCCAUCAUCGCUAGAGCCUUCUAUUAUGCACGUUCUCCAGUUCGACAUGAAGAAACCAAAAAGAUAAAGACUCAUCGCCGUUGUUUGUCGUCGUUGUCGUCGUCGUCGUCGUCGUCGUCGUCAUUAUCAUCAUCAUCGUUGCGUUUGCGUCAUCUUCGUCUCGAAAGUCUCCUCUGAUAGCUAGCGCGCUAUUCGCGUUUGGUAAAAAAAAAAGUAUGAAAAGAGGAAAAAGGAAACAUCUUUCGUUUUUCUGUUUGAGUAUCAAUUGGAUAAUUUUCCGACUCGAUUCAUCGUGCAACAGUCAAUUCCAAAUCGGUACUCUCCUCGUUGGCCUUUGCUCACUCCGCUCGUCACGCCGAAGCUUAAGAGCUGCAAAGCUCUCUUCCUCUCAUGGUUUCUUUCCCUCUCCUUCUCACAUCCCUCCGCUUGUUCCCUCUUCUCAUAUGAAUCACACAGCACAAGAUAACAGACGGGAGGCCUCGCGAACGGAACAGACCGAAAAAAAAUUGAGAUACGUUCUCUAUAGAACGCAACUGGAACUGGAUCGAUCGGAGAUACGUACGCAUCGUCGGUCAAGCGACAUCCCCGAUCGACGCUCUGACAUAUCGUCGACAGGACGACUAUUGACACGAGGACACUGCCGGUGUUCCCUGCCCCCCCCCUACCCCCUCCCCGUCUCUUUCUCCAGCGUGCGCACGAAUGUCCUUGUCGAAGUACCACGAGACAUCUCAUUGUGAGACAUUAUUACGCGUUGCAUGUCGAAAACGGCGGUUCACACAACGCAUGAAUCUUCGAUAAUGUUCCCGUUGCGACCCGAGCCCGACACCUAAUGGUGCUGCUAAACGCGAAGACGAUGAACGGCUCGCGGCUAUCGCUUUCCUUCUUAUUCUUCGUCGUCGCGAAAGUAACGUGCGACGACGCACGAGAUGCCGCUCGAAAAAAAGUGUUACCUUCUUUGACUGUGAUUUUUGCACACCGAGAAUCUCGGACAAGUCACUCCGGAGUCACAUUCUGAAAACGCCUCUCGCCCGUUUGACCCGAAUCUGUGUCCGCUUAUAUACGCGAGAGAGAGAGAGAGAUAAACCGCUGACAAAAAAUUUGUACGCCAAAUUUGCAUCGUCCAGAUAGUUCGUAACUAUUAAAUCAUCCCACGACGGUAUAUUACUAGAUAAAUAGCGUGCUAAUUGGUAUUAGUAAUUAUUCAUGAUAAUUUCUAGCGAUUUCUAUACGGUACACCUUGUGCGAAGACUUCAAAGUUGUCAACGAAGUUUCGCGAAGCUUUCUUGUAAAGAGAUCGAAAAAAAAAGAGCUAAAAUAGAGUUAGCGAUUGACUGGUGUUUACCAAAAAUUCAACGGAUACUGCUAUCUGAGUGGAGAAGAGAAUUAACAGCUAAGUAUAUACUCGCAAAGUUCUACUACCUCAAUCAGCGGUUUAACCCUCGGCUAUACAUAUCACACGCCAGUUCUGAGUAUAAAAACCUUUUUGGACAUCUCUAACACUACACCUCUCUGUAUCAGGAUGAUCAUGAUGGAAUCAGCUAGGGAAUGUUUCUUCUUCGCGGAAAACGGUAUGUCGAAUUACGAAUCGUGUAAAAAAAAAAAAUUGGAGAAGUAGAGCGUAACUCAGGGUAAAUUGUGCAUCAAGUGUUGGCUAACCACGGGCUUUACCAAAACUCCUCUUUUUUCCUACGCAUAAAAGACAGCAAGGCAUUUAAUAGUUUACGGUUAGGAGCACGGUGUGCUUCAACGCAAGCAUUCCCCUUCGUAUUACUCGCUGUUAGUUAACCAAUACUAAUUGAUACAAUUGACACCAAGCCCUCAGAGAGUGCUCGUUUAAUUUACGGCGAUUAAAGAACAUUAACGUGAGCAAUGUGAUUUUUAUAACGGGUAUUUUAAUCGGUAAAAGGGUGUCUUGCACCCUUUACCGUGUAUCUUGUUUGCUCUAACGACAGCUCACUCGAAAAGACGUUUCGACCAAUAGGUGUUCAGUGAGAGAAACAAUCAAUUCUUCCAGUAUUUCUAUUUAGCUGUAAUUAGCGCGAUAUCAUUAUCGCGAUAUAGCGAGGUGUAGACGAAGCGAUCGUGUCUUUUUUAUAGGCGUAUAAGAUGCGAAACGUCGUUUCAGAAUGUGGCCGGCAGAGGCGACGACACGUAAUGCUCAGGCACGUUACAGACGUUAGAAUAGACUUAAUUGUACGAUAUAUACGCGAGACAUGUAAACAGAUUCGAUUUUUUUUUUGCCUCUGGAUGAUUAAUUUGGCCGAUAUUAUUUUUCUUUUGUCGAGUCGAAAAGCUUGAAGUUUCUGAUUUCGUGUUGCACGAUACGCACCAUUAGGUAUUGGGUACAACAACGACUACGCGUAUCUUCUGUAAUCUCGCGGACCCUCGGGCAAAAGUAAUCCUCUCCUUGCGCACUGUUGUUUGAAAAAGUAUAACUUCUUUGUAUCUCACUAGUCUUGGAAAAUACGUCGCGCGAACGAUCAAUUCGAUUUUUUGAGUUUAUAUCUGCACUUGAUAGAGAUUGGCAAACUCACAUAUUCGUUACUUUUAUAGUAUUUUUUUUUUUAAUAAUUUUUCUUUACAAUGUGUAGCGCAUAGAUCCCGAAGCCAUCAUGUCGCGCACAUCGCCUCUAUAAAUAACGCGAGUCACCUUUCGUCGUCUCUCAAGAUUAGCAUAUAGAGCGUGUAUAUAUAUAUACGAAAUGAUUAUAACUUUCAAAUUAUAAAUUUUCCUGCGCACGAAAUUUUCUCACGAGUUUUCCCUUGUCAAAUUAUAUCGUGGGUUUCCGAAAUCUAUCAGUGCGGGAGGUGCAUCAUCUUCGAAACGAUUAACCCCAACAUGGACGAAGUAAUAAGAGAGGGCAUAAAUAAGUGUAAAGUGCAGUAAGCAAGAGCCAUUGCGUGAGAGUGAGAAUGCGCGAGUGUGUGUGUGUGUGUGUGUGUGUGUGUGUGUGUGUUACGUGUGUAUGUGUGCGCAUACGUGAGAAGCGGAGAAAAGGAGCCAUUAAGCUGCAGCAAUAAUAUAAUUAUAGGUGUUAUGGAAAAAAAAAAUUAAAGGAUAAUCUCAUCGGUGGAUUGAGAAAGAAUGAGCGACAUUGUAUGUACACGGAUAUGUAUACAUAUACAUAUUUAAAAAAAUAUAUAAAUCUAUAUAUAAAUAGAUAGGUAGAUAGAGAGAGAGAGAGAGAGAGAGAGAGGUGUGUCAUGACCGAGGAGAAAGAAGAAUACUAUUAAUAACAACAAUUAUUAUUAUUGGCAGCGCCUAUAUAUUGCUCCUCGACAGAUUAAUGUAUCAGGCAGAGUGCUGGCGACGUUAAUAAUGUUAAUACUUUUUGUUGAGUAUAUUAUAAUUAUUACGAACGUUGAGGUGCAUACAUUCUACAGAAGAUUAUGGAUUAAUGUUUAAACGAGAGGAAGGGCGAAAAGGAAGAAAAAUGAUAUAAACGGUGAACGAUUUGUGCGAUGCACGUUAUGCUGUAAUAAGUAAAUAAUAAUAAUAAUAAUAAUAAUAACGAUGAUUAUAAGAGAAGAUAUUAAGAUCACACCUUGCAUUGUACAGAAAGCAUAAUAAUUGUUAGUCUAAGUAGAACAAGCAUUACGAUCUAAUAUCUAAUUAUAAUCCAGUUACGAUUAAGAUGGCUAAGAUCUAAUUGCGUAAUCCCUCUGUCAUGAGUUACUGCGACCGUCGAUAGGUACACUACUCUCUGAUACUUAUAUUAUCUGGCUGAUAAGUGGAUUUCAUUGAAGAGAGGACGCUUCGUCCGUGUCGUCGAGAAGCGCUUUGCGUUAGUUAAAAGAGAGAGAAGAGGAAGCCUCUUUCGGCCGAAAAGAAAGGAUAGAGAAGAACGAGAGAAUCGCAUCGCGGACGCGAAAGCCAUACAUGUCUUCUUCUCUUUCGGCCACGUUAUUCUAUUCCCCCGAGUCGCCCAUAUCGAGUCGCCUAACUGAACGUGUAUUGUUGCGUAGUGCCUUACAAGGCAAACGCAAUCAGUUUUUCCUUCUCUUCGCUGUUUUAACAUCUGCAUCGAUCUUUUCGCGCAGUCUUGUUCACGUGCAAUCGCCUUAUUUCUCGAAUCAAUCAAUCAACCGAUUUCCGGUAACGGAUUAUUGUCGUGACGAGCCUGUCCGGACUAAUUCGACGUGUCCGCUCUCGCAGAGAAAUCCAUAACGCAGCCUCGGAUCUCGUAUUCUUUAGCUUUAUAGCGAACUCUUCGUGAUAGGAAUUGAGAGGAAGAAAAACACCUAUCGUCGUCAAUUUAUUAUGCUAGUUAAGAAAAAAAAAAAAGAGGGAGAGAGUAUUCUAUAAGAGUAAGCCGUUGUCGGCGCUGACAACAGCUGAUUGUACGUUAAACGAAUCUGGCCUAAAAAGAUUUAAAGAAUGUCGUGUCUCCUCGUUAACUGUCAAUCGAUUAUCUUGACGUUCAUUCUCCGUUUUCAUCCAUUUCAGUCCUCCCCCUCCCGCCCCUGCCAGGCUAAGGAUGGCCAUUCGGAUGUCUAAUCGCGUUGUUUUUAAUCUGUAUAAUCUUUUAUCGCUUUCGAUCUCGCUCAUUUCCUACGCGGAAUCCUCUUCACGCUCGCGACUUCGUCGUCGCCGUCAGUACGGUUAAGAAAAACGCAAGAAAGCAUCUUUCUUUUUCGCUUAGUUAGGAUCAGGUGUAUUGGUGAACGUCAGGUUUCAACGUCGCGAUCAGCGUUUUUCCCUUGCGAGCAUCUCGCGAUCAUUAGGUAAUAAAUUACGGGAAGCUGACACGUCUUCCUUUGAGAGUGUCCAUUUUUUUUGUACCGGACACAGAUGUAAUAAGACAUCGCAGCAAUUUAAAGCACAGCAAACGUGUCGAGAGGGACGAACUAUGAGAAACAUAAACAUUAAAUUAACAGUCACACAAUUUCCGUGUUCUCGAAUUAUAUUUAUUCGUCGCGAUUAGCCGAAGUACAUAUACAUACUGCGAGAGUUCGAAUAAAGAGAGAGAAAGAGAGAGAGAGAGAGAGAGAGAGAGAGAGAGAGAGAAGAACGGACAUUGUUUAAUAUUAGUAUUAAAUACGCUACUUCAUUGCAUUUAUACGUAGAAUAGGAUAGAAAGGAAAGAUUGUGCAGCGGAUACACAAUACAUAGGGAUUUUUGAAUGCGUGAUCCAUUUCCGGACAUAUAGAUAUAAUACACGCAGAAGAGGAAGAAGAGAAAGAAGAAAAAUGAGUAAUACAUGAAUGUGGACAGGAAGGGAUCGAUCUGGUGUCCGUGAAUAUGUGGAUCGAUGUCACGUUGGUGCAAUUAUUAAAUACGAGAGGCUACUUCAAUAACCUUAUGAGUGUCAAUUCCAAUUUCAAGUGUAAAUUGUAAUUUCGUGAGAGGCUUAAGGAAAAAAAGAGAAAAGGGGAAAAGCAAGAGAGUGGGGAGAGAGAGAGAGAGAGAGAGAGAGAUGAUGCGACGUCAAACGACAAGAGAAAAGAAUCGUAAACGGUUUAGAAUAAAAAAUAAAGAGGCACGCGCGUAUUGCAGCGUGGCAAAGUGAGA
Molecule: long non-coding RNA, 8370 nt
Organism: Wasmannia auropunctata (little fire ant)
Lineage: Eukaryota; Metazoa; Arthropoda; Insecta; Hymenoptera; Formicidae
Exons: 2
Source: RefSeq, a predicted model, not a curated record